CUCCAAAAGUACACAUAUUGAAUUUAAAACAGAUUAGCAUAUCUCUGAAUGAGCAUCAACAGUUUUAUUCAAUAAUAGCAUUCAUUAGACUACAUAUUAUCAUGUUACAUAUCUAGUUCUCCACUUCACUUGUGGGCUCACCAAACAGGAAAAUUUCUAUUUUCUAAAUGUUUUUGUCUCCUGUACUUAGUACACAGAUCUCAGUCAAAAGAUACUUCUCUUUUUUUAUAAUUUAAAUCUUAUUUUUCCUUUUACAAUAAAGAUAUUUUCCAAACACCUGAAAUAAUCAUGGCCAUUCCAUGUUUUUAUUGUAGGUAUUUUAAUAUUUGCAUGUGCUACCAAGUUCUUAUCUAUAGAAUUCAUAUUUUAUAUGACUGGUAUUUUGAAAUUUGCUUGUGUAUUCCUUCAUUCACUCAUUGUUCCAAAAAUAAAUAAUAAAGCAACUCCUGUGUGUUGGGCACUAAGCUAUAUGUUAGGAAUUAAAUAGAUAGAUGUGGCAUUUACUUUUAGACAUCAACUUGACCAGAUUAAGGGGUAUGUAGGGAGCUAGAAAUGUCUCAUUUCUGGAUGUGUCUGUGAGGGUGUUUCCAGAUGACAUCAACAUGUGAGGUCAUUGACUGAGAGGAAAGAUGCUCUUAAUGUGGGCAGGUACCAUUUAAUUGUCUAGGUUCCUGAGUCCUGGGUCCUGGAUAAAUCAAAAAAAAAAAGUUGAGGAAAGGAAAAAUUUCUCUAUCUCUUUUCUCAUGGAGCUGGGAUACUCUUUUCCUGCCCUGGAACAUGGCUCUGGGACUUUUAUCAGAAGACUUCCAGCCUUCUCAGACCUUAAUCCUGUAAAUGAGAAGUACACCAUCUGCUUCUCUGGGUCUGAGGACUUUCAGCAGAGGUUUAGCCAUUCCACUGGCCUCCCUGGGUCUCCAGCUAGCAGAUUGCCUGUGAUCUCUCAGCCUUCAUAAGUACUUCAAAUAAUUCCCUAAAUUAACCCUCUGUUACCACUCUCCUCUCUCUCUCUCUCUCUCUCUCUCUCUCUCUCUCUAUCAGUAGUGUCUAUCUAUAUUCAAUGUGUAAAACAACUCAAUUUCUACUUUCCUGGAAUUUGUGACUACUGAGAGAGCCUUUAGUUAUUCAAUAAUCAUAAAUAAAUGUAUAAUUAUCACUUGACCAUAUUACCAUUUGAUAAGUGCUAUGUUGCUAUGGAUAUAAUAAACUUUUAACAAGCGAUGAUAUUAGAAAAUUUUAAGGCAGGGUGAUCUGAACACUGAAAAUAGCUAAAUAGAGAAAACAAAGAACAUUUUAGGAAAAAGAAGGACCAUGGUAAAAGGUUCAUUGCACAAAAACAGAUGGAGGUGGGAGAUGGGGUGCAAAUGGAGACUGGUCUACAUGUUCAUCUUUCUUCAUAGGAUGAAGUGAUUCUUCCAUUUUGUCUUUGACUGAUGCUUUUUGUCUAACUGCAAUUUCUUAGGAAUUUCAUACUUCCUAGGUUGAUGUUUCAGGUUUCCUUCUAAGCCCUUCUUCCACAAAUUCCCUCUAUCAUUUUCUUCCACAUUGUUAAUAUUGAGAAUUUAAAUUUAAUGCCAUCAAUGAUUUGAUAUUUUCAGUCAUUGUCUACUUUUAACCCUAUUCGAUGUAUAUUUUGAAUAUAUGCUUAUCUUAAUUUAAUUCCUUGAAAACUUGCCUUACUGUUUUCAUCUCUCUAUUGAAUUUAUGGUCUAUUUUUCCCUAAAAUUUAUAUUUUUAUCUCAUAAAUGUUACUGGAU
This 1754-nucleotide long non-coding RNA is filed under the name Heterocephalus glaber (naked mole-rat). Its description in RNAcentral is "lncRNA (ENSHGLG00000039249.1)". The record is from RNAcentral. Lineage: Eukaryota; Metazoa; Chordata; Mammalia; Rodentia; Bathyergidae.